Molecule: transfer RNA, 69 nt
Filed under: Saara hardwickii (Indian spiny-tailed lizard)
Lineage: Eukaryota; Metazoa; Chordata; Lepidosauria; Squamata; Agamidae
Source: RNAcentral
AAAGUCUUAGCUUAAUUAAAGUACCUGGGUUGCAUUCAGGGGAUGCAGUAAGAGUUCUGCAGAUUUUAA